UUCUCGCAUCGAUGAAGAACGCAGCGAAAUGCGAUAAGUAGUGUGAAUUGCAGAAUUCAGUGAAUCAUCGAAUCUUUGAACGCACAUUGCGCCCCUUGGUAUUCCAUGGGGCAUGCCUGUUCGAGCGUCAUUUGUACCCUCAAGCUCUGCUUGGUGUUGGGUGUUUGUCCACUAUCGUGGACUCGCCUUAAAGUCAUUGGCAGCCAGUGUUUUGGUAUUGAAGCGCAGCACAUUUUGCGCCUCUAGCCUAGAACACUAGCGUCCAAUAAGCCUUUUUCCACUUUUGACCUCGGAUCAGGUAGGGAUACCCGCUGAACUUAAGCAUAUCAAUAAGCGGAGGAA
This 342-nucleotide ribosomal RNA is filed under the name Xylotrechus chinensis. RNAcentral describes it as "eukaryotic LSU rRNA". The stretch from base 1 to 130 matches the Rfam family "5.8S ribosomal RNA", at positions 25 to 154 of the family's 154-position model. Lineage: Eukaryota; Metazoa; Arthropoda; Insecta; Coleoptera; Cerambycidae. The record is from RNAcentral.